Long non-coding RNA from Bos indicus x Bos taurus (hybrid cattle), 717 nucleotides. The record is from Ensembl. Lineage: Eukaryota; Metazoa; Chordata; Mammalia; Artiodactyla; Bovidae.
AGAGGGCCAGACCUGGGGAGAGGUUCAUCCUAGCACAGCAGCCCUGGUCAGAGAUUUGCAGGGGCAACUCUCACAGAUAACGGCACCGUGAUGUUUGCUGGAUUGUUUUUCAUAUAGACUUUACUCAUGGAAGGAUGAUCUUCCUGUAACUUAAUAAGAUAAUGUUGCCAACAAUCUCUUCAAAAAAUACCCUGUUGAAACUUGCUGUCCUUGGGCUCUUGCCAGAGCCCAUUCCUGCCUCCUGCCUGCUGUCUGGCUUGUUUUUAGCAGUGGUUGCCUCUGGGCCGGGUUUGUGUUCUUGAAGAACUCAGUUCAGGAUGGUCCUAGCAGCUGAUGGAAGCCUCCAGAGCAAGUGGGUCAGGCUGUCAAGGUGGAACCCCGAGGCUGCAUGUGGCUGUGGAUACAGAAUUGAGUGGGCAUGAUCUGGAGAUACAGCAGGCCUCCCCACCCCAAGAUCUGUGUGAAGAACCUAAACGGAAAGAGUCAAGAUUUAGGAUGAACGAGAGGAGCUGGUGUCUUUCUGAAUUUUGUAUGAAGCACUUAUUCCUGUGUCAUUGCCAAGGCAGGCUUCCCUGUCUGGCCAGCCCUCUGGUCUUAUCAGAAGAACCUCUUCUCUCUCACACUCUAUCCCACGUCUCAGCUGGAUGCAGGAUGAAUAAAAAUAUGCUUUCUGGUCCUCACACUUGGUUUUAUGUGAGUGAAUGCUGAUGGAAAUGG